This 485-nucleotide ribosomal RNA is filed under the name uncultured bacterium. Its description in RNAcentral is "partial 16S ribosomal RNA". It matches the Rfam family "Bacterial small subunit ribosomal RNA", at positions 30 to 523 of the family's 1533-position model. The record is from RNAcentral.
AUUGAACGCUGGCGGCGUGCUUAACACAUGCAAGUCGAACGAGAACGGAUUAUAGCUUGCUAUAAUUGUCAGCUAAGUGGCGCACGGGUGAGUAAUGUAUAGAUAACCUGCCCUCUAGAAAGGAAUAACAGUUGGAAACGACUGCUAAUGCCCUAUAUGCCUUUAAUACAUAAGUAUGCAAGGGAAACGCUUUAGUGCUAGAGGAUGGGUCUGUAUGGUAGCAGUUAGUUGGUGAGGUAAUGGCUCACCAAGACUAUGACGCCUAACUGGUUUGAGAGGAUGAUCAGUCACACUGGAACUGAGACACGGUCCAGACUCCUACGGGAGGCAGCAGUGGGGAAUAUUGCACAAUGGACGAAAGUCUGAUGCAGCAACGCCGCGUGGAGGAUGACACAUUUCGGUGCGUAAACUCCUUUUAUAUAGGAAGAUAAUGACGGUACUAUAUGAAUAAGCACCGGCUAACUCCGUGCCAGCCGCCGCGGUAA